This is a long non-coding RNA of Alosa alosa (allis shad), 438 nucleotides long. RefSeq lists it as uncharacterized. NCBI's taxonomy places the organism in Eukaryota, Metazoa, Chordata, Actinopteri, Clupeiformes, Clupeidae. The transcript has 3 exons. The record is from RefSeq and is a predicted model, not a curated record.
AGUGCUUCACUGGAAGCCACAGAGGCCACCACAACAUAAAAUCCGUGAAAUAUAACAAACAUGUACUGCUGGAUGGCAGCUCCUUCGCCCAAUAGCAGCUGAAUUAGCGCCCCCUAAAGCGUCCGUCAUCGUCCUUCAUCCAAUCGACGAGUGUUUGACAUCAACGGCGCUGUCCGUUCCUCUCUCCUGCUCAUCACUUCGGCUAUGCGGUGCUGACCAAGGUGUGUGUCGUGAAGGUUACACGGACGGACUGUCCGGUCUUGCAGGGACAGCAGCCACCUGCCCAUGUCACUCUGACUUUGUUGUGUCCACGUCUCCUGGAGGUUCCUGAGAGACCAGCAUGCAGCUCCUCGUCCUGCUCCUGCCUGCGUUCACCCUGACGCUGGCCUCCUCGUUUUCAUCUCCAUAUAGUGAGGUGCCAUACAUCUUUGGUGGUAA